Oceanobacillus iheyensis HTE831 is the source of this 121-nucleotide regulatory RNA element. NCBI's taxonomy places the organism in Bacteria, Bacillati, Bacillota, Bacilli, Caryophanales, Bacillaceae. The record is from Rfam.
CCCGUGCUACAACCGCACAGAAUAGGUGAGUGUAAAAAGCGUAAAACAGCAUUCGUUGUUUUUUGCUUAACAUUUUUAAAAUCCGUAUUGGAUUACCUAAAUGGCGAGUCUGAGUUGAAUG